Vicia villosa (hairy vetch) is the source of this 397-nucleotide long non-coding RNA. RefSeq lists it as uncharacterized. The record is from RefSeq and is a predicted model, not a curated record. The transcript has 2 exons. NCBI's taxonomy places the organism in Eukaryota, Viridiplantae, Streptophyta, Magnoliopsida, Fabales, Fabaceae.
UUGUAGAUGAACAAUAAAAGACACUACUCCAAUGGGUAUUAUUUUGAAGUUGACGUUUUUAUUAGUUUUAUUCGUCAUUUCAUCAGAAUCAGAAGCAAGAGAAGGAGUUGUUGUGAAUACUGGUUGUACAAAAACAUGCUAUCCCAAUGGUUCAUGUUGGGCCAGCUACUGUGUGUGUCACAAAGAGCAUGUUGGUCCAUCUAAAGCUUGCUGUGACACAUGUGUGGGAUCCUUGUGUUUAUGUCCACCAGAGAACCAAUGUAAUGUUUUGUGUCCAGAUGCUUUCACUAAUAGGAAACAUAUUAGUCCAAGAAAAUCACCAAAUAUUGUAAGCUGAGAACUUGGGAUGUAUGGAUAAUAAAGUUUUUAUGAUUAAUAAGAAAUGUCUGUUCAUAUA